Molecule: ribosomal RNA, 478 nt
Filed under: uncultured bacterium
Lineage: Bacteria
Description: partial 16S ribosomal RNA
Rfam family: Bacterial small subunit ribosomal RNA
Source: RNAcentral
GACGAACGCUGGCGGCGUGCUUAACACAUGCAAGUCGAACGGUAAGGCCCUUCGGGGUACACGAGUGGCGAACGGGUGAGUAACACGUGGGUGAUCUGCCCUGCACUUCGGGAUGAGCCUGGGAAACUGGGGCUAAUACCGGAUAGGACCACUGCCUGCAUGAGGGGUGGUGGAAAGCUUUUGCGGUGUGGGAUGGGCCCGCAGCCUAUCAGCUUGUUGGUGGGGUGAUGGCCUACCAAGGCGACGACGGGUAGCCGGCCUGAGAGGGUGACCGGCCACACUGGGACUGAGAUACGGCCCAGACUCCUACGGGAGGCAGCAGUGGGGAAUAUUGCACAAUGGGCGCAAGCCUGAUGCAGCGACGCCGCGUGAGGGAUGACGGCCUUCGGGUUGUAAACCUCUUUCAGCACCGACGAAGCGCAAGUGACGGUAGGUGCAGAAGAAGGACCGGCCAACUACGUGCCAGCCGCCGCGGUAA